This 772-nucleotide long non-coding RNA is filed under the name Spirodela polyrhiza (greater duckweed). RNAcentral's name for it is "long non-coding RNA (SPOL_LNC000457)". The record is from RNAcentral. Lineage: Eukaryota; Viridiplantae; Streptophyta; Magnoliopsida; Alismatales; Araceae.
UCUCUCUCUCUCUCUCUCUCUCUCUCUCUCAUUUGCAUGAUUCCACUUCGACACUCUCUUCUCUCUUCUACUAUCUCAGGAGGCGUGGUGAUUGUUUACGAGAGGAAGGUGAAGCUUCUUUACGGUUCGCUGCCGCUAAACUUCAUUCCCAAGUUUCUACAUCCUGAAUCGAGAAUUGCAGUAACUAACGCGAUUUUCUUCAUGCUCUUGUCCGUAGAUGACGUCUCGCGUCUUCUGGUGAAUCUCCUCGGCAGUCAGCCCCCCUCAGUUUCUAGAUGUUUCAAUUCUAUUUCAAUUUUUUCCUCCCCUGCUUUGCCGUAGCCCUGUUGUUCUCGCUAGGAUUCAUCUUUCUCCACUCAGACUGUUCUUACGCUGCUAUUCCUCAGGUGGAGAUCAACGAAGCAUGGAAGGUGAAGUCCGUCUCAGAUCCCACCGUCCUCCCCAGGGGCAAAACCCAAGCCAGGUAUCAUCCUAACCACAUUCUCCCAUCAGAUUUCCCUGUUUCGGUCCAUCCAAACAAUUAAGAAACGUCGGAAACGGUACCUUCAUGGCUUGCUACGAUCUAUCCGGAAACAUCCGAAAGCGCGGGGUGGAUCCCGAAGUCGGCUCGAUCGACGUGAUCCCCUCGCGCUGUAUCGGUGUUCCUGUUCGGAGCGGAUCUCAAUUAGCAGUCGGCCAAUCGGCACCGCAGACGCUGCUCUGCGUUUCUCCCCACUCGAUCUUGGUCCUCCUCGAGCGCUGCAUCACCGCCCAUGGAGAUCUGAUGGCGACG